CAUGUAACUCCGCCUGUGCUGCAUUUCAUAGCACACAGCCGGUCUCAAGCCCGGGUUAAGGAGGAGAGAUGCAUG
Molecule: non-coding RNA, 75 nt
Filed under: Populus trichocarpa (black cottonwood)
Lineage: Eukaryota; Viridiplantae; Streptophyta; Magnoliopsida; Malpighiales; Salicaceae
Source: RNAcentral